This 1475-nucleotide long non-coding RNA is filed under the name Gossypium barbadense (sea-island cotton). Its description in RNAcentral is "long non-coding RNA (GBAR_LNC007594)". The record is from RNAcentral. Lineage: Eukaryota; Viridiplantae; Streptophyta; Magnoliopsida; Malvales; Malvaceae.
GGGUAUUCUAGUCAUUUUAGUUUUUUCCAUUAUAUUAUUACACCUCUAUUCCAUUCAACCAAACACAAGAUUACUAUUACGCCUCUAUUCCAUUACAUUCAACCAAACAGUUGAUUUGCUAUUACACCUCUAAUCCAAUACAGCGAACCAAACGCACUCUUAUAAUUUUGUUGUAUAAUGCUUCUUCUUCUUCUUUUUUUAAAAAAAAGAGUAGUCUAAUUUAUACAUAUGAUACUGUUGGGCUCAAUUUUAGCCCGGAACCCAAUAAACAAAUUAAAUAAAAACACCGAAACAGUCCAAUGUCCAUUUACAAACCUAUACCACUACUCAAACUAGCCCAAACAUUACACGGGCCCAAUCCAAAAUUACAACCCACACUAAAGACCCUUGCCCAAAUUUUCAGCCCAAAAGCUUAAACAAUUUCAGCCAAAGAAACCCUAAGCAGACCCUUGUGCCGCAGCCAACAACGCACCUCCCCCGCACGUCGCGCGCUUUCUCCGCGUCGUACGCUACUUCACCACGCUACAUCAAUGAUACACCCACGCACGUACCUGCAAACGUGCAAAAAAUUGAGAUGUAAAAUGACUAUAAAAAGCCUUCGAAAAUUGUUUGUAAGGGACCUUUUUUUGGAUGAAUAUAUGAUAGCAAAGAGUACAAACAAAAAGUCAAUAGCAAUCAAAGAUCGAAUCCAAUGUUGUUUUUCAGUUUUUCUUUCCUAUUCACAGUCGUGUUUUUUCUUUUUCCCUUUCGUUUUUAUUUUACUUUGCAAACGGAUUUUAAACAAAAGCCGAAGGAGAAGAGGCUUCCCUGGGUCCACUCCGUGGAUCGGCGUCGGAGGUGGAGGCGCAGAAGUGCCAAUGACCCUCGUGCACAGCCUCUCAGGAUAGGGUCAAAACCCUUGAAACAAAUUGGGAUUUGUUUUGCUACCUGUGAAGAAUGGCAGAUGGCCAUUCAUUUUUUGGUUUUUUAAAUGGCAAAUAAAACAGCACCGUUUGGUGCUGGACCCACGCAUUUUGGCUCAAAAUGAGGAAUUUGCGCAUGGAGUCCCCCCUUCGCGCUAGCGUUCAAUUGAGCCAUGUUUAAGUUUUUUUAAAUUCUUUUAAAUUGUCCCUGGAAUUUGCGCGCCGUUACAAAUCAGUCUGCGCUUAAGUGUUUCAUUUUGGGCGUUUGGUUUAUUUGUUUUUUUAGUCCCCGUUAGUUUAUACGCCUCGCAUUUUGAUCCUACGGUACUUUAUCAUUUACAAAUUGUCUUUUUGAUUUUAACCUUUUUUUUUAAAUUAAGUUUUUAAUUCAUAUUUUAAAUUUUCUUUUUUAUUAUUCAUUUUUUUCAUAUAUUAUUUUACUAUGUACUGUUUUAAUAAAUUACAUAUUAUUAAGGUUUUUAUUUCCUUAUUUUUGCGUAUUUUUACAUUGAUUUGUUGUAUGACUUAUUGGUUUUAAAAUUCUUUUAUAUAAUUUUAUACUUUAGUGAUUUU